Molecule: ribosomal RNA, 131 nt
Filed under: uncultured bacterium
Lineage: Bacteria
Description: partial 16S ribosomal RNA
Rfam family: Bacterial small subunit ribosomal RNA
Source: RNAcentral
UGGGGAAUAUUGCACAAUGGGCGAAAGCCUGAUGCAGCGACGCCGCGUGAGGGAUGACGGCCUUCGGGUUGUAAACCUCUUUCAGUAGGGAAGAAGCGAAAGUGACGGUACCUGCAGAAGAAGCGCCGGCU